UUCCUACGGGGGGCAGCAGUGAGGAAUAUUGGUCAAUGGGCUUACGCCUGAACCAGCCAAGUCGCGUGAGGGAAGACUGCCCUAUGGGUUGUAAACCUCUUUUGUCAGGGAGCAAAGAGGCCACGUGUGGUCAAAAGCGAGAGUACCCGAAGAAAAAGCAUCGGCUAACUCCGUGCCAGCAGCCGCGGUAAUACGGAGGAUGCGAGCGUUAUCCGGAUUUAUUGGGUUUA
Molecule: ribosomal RNA, 230 nt
Filed under: uncultured bacterium
Lineage: Bacteria
Description: partial 16S ribosomal RNA
Rfam family: Bacterial small subunit ribosomal RNA
Source: RNAcentral